GAGUUUGAUCGUGGCUCAGGAUGAACGCUAGCGGCAGGCUUAACACAUGCAAGUCGAGGGGUAUAGGUUUUCGGACCUAGAGACCGGCGCACGGGUGCGUAACGCGUAUGCAAUCUACCUUUUACAGAGGGAUAGCCCAGAGAAAUUUGGAUUAAUACCUCAUAGUAUUAUAGAAUGGCAUCAUUUUAUAAUUAAAGUUCCAACGGUAAAAGAUGAGCAUGCGUCCCAUUAGCUAGAUGGUAAGGUAACGGCUUACCAUGGCGACGAUGGGUAGGGGUCCUGAGAGGGAGAUCCCCACACUGGUACUGAGACACGGACCAGACUCCUACGGGAGGCAGCAGUGAGGAAUAUUGGUCAAUGGGCGCAAGCCUGAACCAGCCAUGCCGCGUGCAGGAUGACGGUCCUAUGGAUUGUAAACUGCUUUUGUACAGGAAGAAACAGUUCUACGUGUAGAACCUUGACGGUACUGUAAGAAUAAGGAUCGGCUAACUCCGUGCCAGCAGCCGCGGUAAU
Molecule: ribosomal RNA, 513 nt
Filed under: uncultured Flavobacterium sp.
Lineage: Bacteria; Pseudomonadati; Bacteroidota; Flavobacteriia; Flavobacteriales; Flavobacteriaceae
Description: bacterial SSU rRNA
Rfam family: Bacterial small subunit ribosomal RNA
Source: RNAcentral